UGGGGAAUUUUCCGCAAUGGGGGCAACCCUGACGGAGCAACGCCGCGUGCGGGAGGAAGGCCUGUGGGUUGUAAACCGCUUUUAUCAGGGAAGAAGCACUGACGGUACCUGAUGAAUCAGCAUCGGCUAACUCCGUGCCAGCAGCCGCGGUAAGACGGAGGAUGCAAGCGUUAUCCGGAAUUAUUGGGCGUAAAGCGUCCGCAGGCGGCUGAACAAGUCUGCUGUCAAAGCCCGCAGCUCAACUGCGGAUCGGCAGUGGAAACUGUUUAGCUAGAGUACGGUAGGGGUAGAGGGAAUUCCCAGUGUAGCGGUGAAAUGCGUAGAUAUUGGGAAGAACACCAGUGGCGAAGGCGCUCUACUGGGCCGUAACUGACGCUGAGGGACGAAAGCUAGGGGAGCGAAAGGGAUUAGAUACCCCCGUAGUCC
RNAcentral lists this ribosomal RNA (426 nucleotides) under uncultured prokaryote. RNAcentral's name for it is "bacterial SSU rRNA". It matches the Rfam family "Bacterial small subunit ribosomal RNA", at positions 355 to 796 of the family's 1533-position model. The record is from RNAcentral.